This is a non-coding RNA of Podarcis lilfordi (Lilford's wall lizard), 78 nucleotides long. The record is from the annotation of a GenBank genome assembly. Lineage: Eukaryota; Metazoa; Chordata; Lepidosauria; Squamata; Lacertidae.
GCCAAGCUGAGAUAGCUCAGUUGGUAGCACAUGAGACUCUUAAUUUCAGGGUUGUGGGUUCGAGCUCCACGUUAGGCA